This is a long non-coding RNA of Octopus sinensis (East Asian common octopus), 324 nucleotides long. RefSeq lists it as uncharacterized. The transcript has 2 exons. NCBI's taxonomy places the organism in Eukaryota, Metazoa, Mollusca, Cephalopoda, Octopoda, Octopodidae. The record is from RefSeq and is a predicted model, not a curated record.
AACAACAAAGGAAAGGACCAUAAAAAAAACAAAACAAAAAAACAACCAACCAACCGGCCAACCGGACGGACAGACGGACCAACCAACCAACCCAGACCAACCAACGGACUGACUGACAGACGGACAGACCAACUGACCAGUCUCCUAGGCAAGAAGAAACUGGCAAUGACCAUCACCUCUGGUUAAGACAAGCCACCACGCCAUCACCACCACAAACAACAACAACAACAGCAGUGGAUGCAGCCGUUGUCAGGUGCAACCGCAACAGUGUGCGUGCAAGCAGAGAGAACUUUCUAGAAGGAAACUGCCGGGUGGGGGUCGGGG